Lathyrus oleraceus (garden pea) is the source of this 423-nucleotide long non-coding RNA. RefSeq lists it as uncharacterized. The transcript is spliced from 2 exons. Lineage: Eukaryota; Viridiplantae; Streptophyta; Magnoliopsida; Fabales; Fabaceae. The record is from RefSeq and is a predicted model, not a curated record.
CUCAUAAAAAAUUUGCUCUCUGUCAAACCACAACCUUCACGCAAUAACAUCUCCCGUGUUCUCGUUUCAAUAUCACAACAGCAUCCAACGCUACCGAGAUGCAGUAACCCUGGUUCCAGCUUUAAGGUAAAUAAUCGAAACGAUUUUCAUGGCGUGAAUGUAAUGUGGAUACCCCAUUCGUCUGUUUGCCCGCUGUUGUCAUUUUUUUCUUAUUUUCAGCUUAUUUCUUUGGUUUUAGAAAUUGAUUAUAUGGACUGUUAUGUCAAUACAUUUCAAAUUGUAAAUUUAUGCUGAACCCAGUACAAAUGCAAUGGGUUGCGUAACUUUGUUUGCUGUUUCUUAUCGCUUAUGUGAAUAUUGCACAGUAUUAAAGUUAAAUCUUUGUGUGUUUGAAUGAAGAUGAGAAAUGUAUGAUUGAGCACA